Molecule: ribosomal RNA, 426 nt
Filed under: uncultured bacterium
Lineage: Bacteria
Description: bacterial SSU rRNA
Rfam family: Bacterial small subunit ribosomal RNA
Source: RNAcentral
UCGGGAAUUUCGGGCAAUGGGCGAAAGCCUGACCCAGCAACGCCGCGUGAAGGAUGAAAUCCCUCGGGAUGUAAACUUCGCAAGAAUGGGAAGAAUUAGUAGGGGACAAUACCCCCUAUGAUGACGGUACCAUUUGUAAGCUCCGGCUAACUCCGUGCCAGCAGCCGCGGUAAUACGGGGGGAGCAAGCGUUGUUCGGAUUUACUGGGCGUAAAGGGCGCGUAGGCGGCCAGCACAAGUCGGUUGUGAAAUCUCCGGGCUUAACCCGGAAAGGUCAACCGAUACUGUGCGGCUAGAGUGCAGAAGGGGCAACUGGAAUUCUCGGUGUAGCGGUGAAAUGCGUAGAUAUCGAGAGGAACACCUGCGGCGAAGGCGGGUUGCUGGGCUGACACUGACGCUGAUGCGCGAAAGCCAGGGGAGCGAACGG